RNAcentral lists this ribosomal RNA (254 nucleotides) under uncultured bacterium. Its description in RNAcentral is "partial 16S ribosomal RNA". It matches the Rfam family "Bacterial small subunit ribosomal RNA", at positions 524 to 776 of the family's 1533-position model. The record is from RNAcentral.
UACGUAGGGUGCGAGCGUUGUCCGGAAUUAUUGGGCGUAAAGAGCUCGUAGGCGGUCUGUCGCGUCGAUCGUGAAAACUUGGGGCUUAACCCUGAGCUUGCGGUCGAUACGGGCAUGACUGGAGUUCGGCAGGGGAGACUGGAAUUCCUGGUGUAGCGGUGAAAUGCGCAGAUAUCAGGAGGAACACCGGUGGCGAAGGCGGCAUCCUGGACCGAUACUGACGCUGAGGAGCGAAAGCCAGGGGAGCAAACGGG